Molecule: long non-coding RNA, 3785 nt
Organism: Rosa rugosa (rugosa rose)
Lineage: Eukaryota; Viridiplantae; Streptophyta; Magnoliopsida; Rosales; Rosaceae
Exons: 2
Source: RefSeq, a predicted model, not a curated record
CUCUCCUUCUACACCGAGACCUAGACACACACAGAGAAAAGAAACAAGGCCGCCACCAUCGUUCUAUCCCUCUCACUUCAACCACCGAGACCAGCCACCAUACCCAAUCUUCACUACUCCACAUCAAAUCCUCAUCAAUUUCUCAAGGGAUUUCAAGGGGCUUCAAGUUUUGAGAUUGGGUAAAUUGGGAAGCCAUAAAUCAAGGCUUGUCAUAAUUGUUCCAUAGCAAUUUGUGACUUGUUCUUGUUACUUCUCACUCCUCUUCACCUUUACCUCUUUAAUUGAUUUAUAUUUUUGUUGAUUUGUGGAUGGGUUGUGAGUGGUCUAUUUAGGAAACUAGGGUUUGAACCCUAGCAUGAAUUUAUUGUAAUAAAUAUGUUUUGACUCAAUGGUUUUCAAUUUCGUGUCUGGCAUAUGUUCUAUUCUAUAUUAUUUAGCUUAGAUGCAUGCUUAGGAGCUUGAUUAACUCUUGAAUAUGUAGAUAAGCAUGUCUAGCACAAAUUAGGGGACCUAAUCACUUCUCUAAUUUAUGGCUAGGACACUAGUUUAGAACAUGGUUAGUUACAAUACCAAUUUCAAUUGCCGUAUUGGCUAGCUUGGGAACCUUGAUUCUAGGACUCUUCGCCUUUUGGUGCAACUAGAGGCCCUAACAAGGCUCUACAUUGUUCCAAUUGAGUUUCUAUGACCCUUGAUCCGGAGUAGGAAUACCCUUUAAGGAAUCUAAUGACUCAUGAGCCGUGAAAAGCCUUGGUUACGGUUCUUGAUGCCAUUAUGAAUUGAAUGACCAUUGUCGGAACAUAUUUGAUACCCUAGUGACUUAAUUUCCAUUUCUUGAUUAGUUUCUAUUAUCUUUAUUUUUUUAGUUACAAUUAUUAUUUCAAUUGUCAAUUUUAUUUUUCGCAAUCAAAACCAACUUUCACAAACCACUUUCAUUGUCCAUAUCAUUUGGUUGUGAGCUUCCGCAUUUAUUUGUGGUUCUUUUGACCCAUUUUUAGGCUUGGUUGUUCCGAGCCGGGCAUGUAAAUAGCUUGGUGCUAUUUUUCUAGGUUUAUUUGUUAAUUGUUGGUGACUUAGUAAUCGGCAUAACCAAGGAUUGGAGUUAGCUUUUCAAUCCCCGUGGUACGAUAAUUUCGGGUCCAAAUAUUUCCCCUUUCUUUGAUGACCGUGCCCUUAUUGCGCGUAAGUUGCAUUUAAGCACCAAAUCAAAUGGCACCGUUGUCGGGGAUUAGAGUGUAAUAGUUUUCCUCAAAAUCGUCUCAGCCGAAAUGAGGGCCGAGGGACCUGUGGUUGAAUUAUCCUUCUGAGAUAGCGCGGGCGUGCCAACUAGCGGCCGAAUGGCCGACUGAGGUUUAGAUCUGAUUUGCGCUUGUACCUGACUACUUUCAAGUGAUUGUAGGCCGAGGAAGGAACCCUCUCGGCCGUUAGGUUCUAAUGCCUCUAUUGCAAGGACUUCGGUUAGGCGUUAAUCCUGACCGGGGUCUUCUGUCACGUUCACUUCUUGGGUAAACUCAAAGGUUCAGGUGACAAGCGAGAGAUCUAUCGGGUGAAGGAACUCGCAAAUCACGGUGAAGACGAAUGUGAAGUGAACUCGGUUGUCAAAGCGUUGUGAGAUGACAUGUGUGUGAACAACGAAUCGCAUUGAUCCAAUCCGGACUGGCCGAAAGAGAUCAAUGGACGAUAAUUCUACGUUACGAAAUACUCCUAAGUACGAAAAGUAAAGUGCAUAUAAAGUAAAUAAACAAGAAAGUAAAGUGCUUGAAUGUAAAUAAUUGAAUUAAAACUAAGAAACUAGAAAUGAAAACAAGUUGUAAAAGUUGAAUCGAAGGCAAAAUACCUAUGAGAUAGCAAGAGAAAAGUUUGUGAGUAAAAGUUGUAUAUUGAUUUGUAAUCCCUUGGUUUUUGGUUGUUAGAUCACUUGCAUUAGUUUCUUAGUUUUAGUUAAUUUUUUUGGUUUGUUUAGAUUGAAAAAAAAAAAUUAUUUGUUUAUUUUAGUUUUCUUAUUUUGAUUAUUUUAUACUUGUGUGUUUGUUUGUUGAGACAUUGUGAUUAUUUCUAUCAAAGUGACGGGCCUUGUAUUACUUUGUAGUACAUGUAAGACAGGAGCAUCGAUAGCGAUUGUCACUUGGCUUGACUUAUUUGCUUGCUUUUCAUUAAGUUUCCUAAUUAGUCGUUAGUUUCUUGAGUUGUUUGUUUUCACUUAUUCUUGGCUUUAUUUUCUUAUUUAAUUGUUGUCUUACCUUCUCUUAUUUUAUUUUCUUAUUUAAUUGUUGUACAUACAUGACAUCUGCUGGCCAUAAUCAGCAUUCAUACCUAACCAUAUGAUUUUGUCGGAGUGACUUUAACGGUGUAACCCCCAGAAACACAGCAAGACAACCUUCACCAACAAACCAGCUCCAGGCCGAAAUAUGCCUCAACGCACAGACACGCACCACCCAAAUUCAUCUCUGCAGAAGGGAUCAAAACUCAUCAAACUGAAGCAUAUGUUAGGUCCAUAAUUACCUAGAGAAACCGAGCUAGACAAGGAAGGAGGAGCGGCAGACUAACCAAAUGGAUUCCAAAUGAGUUGAAACUUUGUAGAUCCAUUCUAGACAUCCUAAGUAUCAUUUUUUAUUAAGAGUGUAAGAGCUAGUUUGGAAUGGAAGGCCUUCAAAAAAUUGGUGAAAAUUUCUCCACUAGAAGACAAAAAUUGUAAAACCGGACCUGUACGGAUUCCGGCAGCAUUUUCGGCCACACCACGGUGAACUAGGCUCUGAAAUUUUACCAGGAUGAUCUACACUCAUAAAGGAACAUUUGGUAUGAAGAAACCGAAGGCUAAUCCCGAAGUCUUGGUGGAGAUUGAAUUGAAGGAAGAAAGUGCAAAAACAUGACGAAAUGAGAGUCAACGCCGGUCAACGCCGGAUUCUGCCCAAGUUGGCCGGCCAAGACCAUGUGUGGAGGACAAGGAAGAGCUGACUAGGGUUAGAGAAUUUAGGUGGGAAGACUUUAGGUUUAGGUUAUUUUAAAAUUCAAAAUUUGAAAUAUGACAAGUGGUCCCAUUCUUACACCUUACACCUUUGUCUCCCAUUUAUUACCUUGUUCCCUUACACAAUGGCCCUUCUACCCUUACUUUUUCUCCUCCACCAAAAUAUCUAUAGGCUUUCUAGGUCAUUUUUAUGUGGAGUUAAAGACUAGAUCCACAUUUUGUGCUUACACAUUUGUCAAUCACAUCUAGCCCUUCAUUUCAUUUGAUCUCCACCCUCCAUUCAUCACUUUUGGCCUAUAAAAACACCCUCCCCUCACUUUGGACAUUUUUCAUGUAUUCCUUCAUCCAUUUCAUCUCCUUCCUCUCUCCAUUUCCUCUCCAUUUUCCAUAGUACUUCACCUUGUAGUUCAUAGUUCUUAGCUUUUGUGUAGAGAAAACUGUAUAGCUUCUUGGGUUUUGUUCUAAAACCGAUGAGUCUAUACAUCUUUGAUCAAUCACACCUUAGUUUCAUCAUCUCAAGCCUUUGUUCUUCAUGUAUCUAAGAGUUUUGUGGAUUUGUAUGACAAUUUUGGUUUGAAAGAACCAAAAUUUCCAUACUUUGAAACGUCUCUCACUAGUUUUGCAUCAAGGGGAGCUAGUUUGGUAACCAACCACUUUCUCCACUCUUCCUCUCUUUUGCUUGAUGUUAUUAUGUUUAUGGGUUUGUUGUAUGUAACUAUGGGUUGUGAGUAGAAUAAAUUUGGGGCUAGGCCGUAGCCUUAGCCAAACUCAUGUAUAAAAUAGUGUGAUGCCAUGUUUUUGAUGAAUAUGCAUGUUUUGAAUC